UUAAGUAGACCGCCUGGGGAGUACGGCCGCAAGGUUAAAACUCAAAUGAAUUGACGGGGGCCCGCACAAGCGGUGGAGCAUGUGGUUUAAUUCGAUGCAACGCGAAGAACCUUACCUGGUCUUGACAUCCACGGAAGUUUUCAGAGAUGAGAAUGUGCCUUCGGGAACCGUGAGACAGGUGCUGCAUGGCUGUCGUCAGCUCGUGUUGUGAAAUGUUGGGUUAAGUCCCGCAACGAGCGCAACCCUUAUCCUUUGUUGCCAGCGAUUCGGUCGGGAACUCAAAGGAGACUGCCAGUGAUAAACUGGAGGAAGGUGGGGAUGACGUCAAGUCAUCAUGGCCCUUACGACCAGGGCUACACACGUGCUACAAUGGCGCAUACAAAGAGAAGCGACCUCGCGAGAGCAAGCGGACCUCAUAAAGUGCGUCGUAGUCCGGAUUGGAGUCUGCAACUCGACUCCAUGAAGUCGGAAUCGCUAGUAAUCGUGGAUCAGAAUGCCACGGUGAAUACGUUCCCGGGCCUUGUACACACCGCCCGUCACACCAUGGGAGUGGGUUGCAAAAGAAGUAGGUAGCUUAACCUUCGGGAGGGCGCUUACCACUUUGUGAUUCAUGACUGGGGUGAAGUCGUAACAAGGUAACCGUAGGGGAACCUGCGGUUGGAUCACCUCCUUACCUUAAAGAAGC
This 685-nucleotide ribosomal RNA is filed under the name Salmonella enterica subsp. enterica serovar Agona. Its description in RNAcentral is "bacterial SSU rRNA". It matches the Rfam family "Bacterial small subunit ribosomal RNA", at positions 860 to 1533 of the family's 1533-position model. Lineage: Bacteria; Pseudomonadati; Pseudomonadota; Gammaproteobacteria; Enterobacterales; Enterobacteriaceae. RNAcentral also lists the same sequence under 1 other name. The record is from RNAcentral.